CAAAUCUGGGCAAGCAAUAAGAUACACCGGGAGGAAAGGUCAUCAAUGCGAAAAUGGGAUGUCCGAUCCCUCAUCACAUCUUCUUCAGAUUUGUAUGGUCCAGAAAAGUCUGCUAGUGUUGAAAAAUUACCUAGGCAUGUAAAAUUUACUUUUAAGAAUCCUGUUAGGUGCUGCAUUAUUUGGAUCACAUUACAUCUUCAGAGACCUGGUUUGGGUUCAGUUAAUUUCGGGAAGGACUACAGCAUUUGCAGAUGAACCUUCAGAACAAGAUGAUUCAGGAUUGAGAGCUCCACUUGUGGCCACAGGUUUGUCUUUGUCAAACAGAAUCAAGUUAUAUUAUUAUUGUGAUCCUUAUGAGCUCGGAAAAUGGGCAAGCCUUUCUGGAGUUUGAUCGUUAUUUAUAUGUCAGAGAAAGAGUUUUGGGUUUGAUUUUGAUUUGUAAUUUUUGUCAGUUUAUUGAAAUUUUGUUGUUGUAUAAAAGCAGAAUGUAAAGGUAUAAAAAUUCAUUGAUGCUGUAAUGUCUGUACUUUUGAGAAAGAAGAAUUCAAUGUCUUUUCUAUGCCAUUGGAUUUUCCACUGCUGGUAAAACCUGAGCUGUCGAAUGCUCUGUGAACCUUAAGGGCUAGAAAGUAAUUUUCUUUUUUUUUUAAUUCUUUUAUAUACAUAUUAUUAUUGAUAUUACAUUAGACAUUACAAUUACAAUAUUUAUAAUCGUACUAAAUAACUGAGACCAACGUCAUACAUUAACUCACGCCAUACAUUAACUCACUGAAGCACUUGUCCAAAUACUUUAAACCUCUCUAAUAUUCGAGGAGUGUCUACUCUAUUCACAUUUUGUUAGGGAGAGACUGUCUCUACUCAAUUAGUUGAUAAUUAAGAAAGAAUUGAAACUAACCUCCAUAAUGUUCUUAUGAAAGCUCGAACUCUUGCACUCAACAUUAUAAGUGCAAGGUUUCUACCAUUGAACCAAAGACCCAUUGGUGGCUAUAAAGUAAUUUUCAAGAGUGAAGGAUUUAUUAAUCGAGUUCAAAAGAUUGCAAGCUGGUGAGCGUUGGCAUUUAAAAAUCAAUUGUUAUCCUCUCAAUAAUCUCUCUCUUCUGCCGACACCCGAAGCUCAGAAACCCGUUGUUCCGACGGACGUGUAACACUUCCAGAAAUUAGCCUUUUCUUCUAUAUGAAGGUUGAUCUCUCCUCCUGCAGUGUUUUCUUUUUCGAGUGAAGGUGGUUUUCUACUUACAUAUGUCGGGGGUCUUACAAUAUCUAAUGUGUGAAAUUUCUUUCUCAUUUUACCAUAAAGAAAAUGUCAGUAAUGAUUUAAAGCUCGAGUCUUAAAUUAUCUUAAAUUAAGAAUCUCUCAUUACAUUGUCAACCAAAAAGACACUUACAUAAGAAGAAGAAUUUGUCAGUUUGAUUUUAUUUGUAGAUCCAACAUUUCUCAUAUCCUGAGUGCCUUUCCGUAUCAAAUUAAAAUAGUAGUAGCAAAAUCGUAGUGCACAUUUAAUUAACCAACUAAUAGUCUAAGCAAAGAGAGGAUUACAAGUUCACAACACCAUUACAAAGGAUUCAAAAUCCCCGCACGAAAACAUCAAUGUACAGUUAUAAACAACCCGAAUUGGACACAAGAAAAACCCUUCAAUGGAUUGUUUGCCUUCCCAAUGCUAUAUACUGUGCAAACUGCGCACUGGCCAAGAAAAUGUUUUCAAUUUAGUGUACUUUCAAAAUGCUUAUUUUCUCAGAAUAUUAAAAAAAUAAAAAAAUAAAAAAAUAAAAAGAAUUCUUACAUGUUUCAUCAGCAUGAUUAAAAUCAAAGAAGAAAGCGAGACAUAAUGUCUCUGACAUAAUAAAAUUACAAAAAUUUCAAAAAAAAUGUUAAAACAUGUAAACAUGAAAGUAUUUUCAAAAGCAAAAUGGAAUACAUAGAUAAAACAUCAUCUUAAACAAAUCACAAUCUAGAAUUAGAGCAUUUUUGACAUACCUAAGGAAAAAGAAUACGUGAAAAUGGGUGACUCAUUUGCUAAGGAGUGUUGAUUUGAUUGGCUCUGCAAAUUCUCUUGGGGCUCAGUUCCAAUUCCUCUACAUCCAAAGUUCCACUCGCGCUUGGCAAAUCAUCCAAUUUCCAAACUUCGGUAGCAAAAUUGAUAGUAAAAGUGUUGUCUUUUGUUUCGCUGGGAUUUGCAUAUACUGGACAUAAUCCGCAACGUUUUAUCUUGUAAAACUUUCGCUCAGCGAAGAACUUAAAUGUGGCAAUUGUAUGAUGGUAACCAUCAGGAAACCCAACAUUCAAGCAAGGUUUAAAACCAAGUAUGACACGAUCUGAAUCAAUAAGGUCUUCAAUAUAGCGCGAAUUGUAACCCAGAUCAACAUGUUUGGUUUCAGAGAGAGUCUUUAUUUCUAAGUCGAAUUGAAAGCUGACGUAAAAAUAACGAAAACAAUCAGAAUCAACUUUCUUAGAAUCAAGAACAGCACAAAAAGCAAACCCGAUUAAGUUUCUGCAAGAAGAGUGCGGUGGCAGUUGAAUACAUAUCGAAGAUCCUGAACUUUGAUUGCUAAACCAGUCAGGAAUUUCGCUCCCAGGUAAAACAAUUAGGGAUCCCCUGAGUUCAGAAAGUUUCUGUGAAAGGACAUUUAAAAAAAGAAAAUUGUAAAAUGAAAACCAUUGAUUUCAGAUAUAAGAAAGAGGGACAGAGUAAACAAGAGAGGGAAUUUGAUACCUCGUUGAUUGCCAUUUCAUAGCCCAGUCUCAGUGAUGCAAUUGCCAUAUGCCGAAUUCUUAGUAGUGAAUCUGCCAAAAUCUUGUUGUUUGCUUUUCCAUUCAGUUUCAAGCAGUUAGUAAACUCAAAACAAAUUGCUGCUGACUUCAGAGAUUCUGGUGCCCAUUGAAGGUCAGGAGAGUGUUUGGAUAGCUUUUCGAGUACGGAUGCAUCUAGUUCUUGUAGACAUAACAGAAUCUCUGGCAAAGAUUGAAGCCGGUUGCAGUUCCUUACAGUUAGUAACUGUAGACACAAUGGAAGUUCUGGUAAUGACCGAAGCAUGUUACAAUCCUCCAAGUUAAGAUAUUGUAGACACAAUGGAAGUUCUGGUAAUGACCGAAGCAUGUUACAACCCGUCAAGUCAAGAGAUUCUAGACAAAAUGGAAGUACUGGUAAUGACUGAAGCAUCUUACAAUCAAUCAAGUGAAGAUAUUUUAGGCACAAUGGAAGUUCUGGUAAUGACUGAAGCAUAUUAAAAUCCUCUAAGUGAAUAAACCUCAGCUGCGACAUUUGCUUGAUAAUUGCAGGUAAACUCUCAAAGUUAUUUCCACUUAGAUACAAUAUUUCCAGUGAGGAUAGAUAGGCAAUCUCUUGUGGAAUUUCCCUUACAGCAUAGUCACUUAUAUGUAGAAGUCCCAUAGCAGAUAAACCUAAUAAAAAUGUUCGAGGAAAUGAUUCCAAACCUUUGCAGUGAGAGGAGUCAAGACUUCUAAGCAUGUUUGACAAUGCAACAGAGGAUGGUAGUUGACUAAUAGCUGAUGCAGCUGCUAAGAUGUAAUACAAAUAUUCUAAAGAGCCAAUGUUAUCCGGUAAAUUAUCAAGUUUAGAGCAAUCUUCUACGAACAAUACUUCAAGCCCCGGUAGAUUUUCAAAUGACGAUGGCAGCUCUGUAAUUGGCGUCCUGUCUGAAUAGAUGCGUUUUAAAUGUUCCAUUUUCUCCAAGAUUUCUGGGAAAUGCUCAAGGUUCAAGCAGCCAAGAAGAAUAAGCGUAACCAAAGAUCUCAAUUUACAAAAGCUUGUUGAAAUCCGCUUCAGCCGUUUGCAACCCCUCAAAUCCAACACUUCAAGAUCAGUUAGACACUCUAUUGAUGAUGGAACUUCUUCUAUUGCAGACUGGCCUAAGUAUAGCCGUGUAACUUUCCCAGAAAUUUGUGGAAACUCUAUGAGAUUAACACAAUAGGAGAAAUUAAUAGUUACUGGACAAACAAAAUGAAGAUUGCUUGGAAAAGACCUAAGACUUUGGCAGCCCUUAAAAGACAACGCACUGAGAUACUUGAAAUUCUGGAUAGAUGAGGGAACACAAGCCUUUUCUCCUUCCCAAGGUUGCUCAACUUUACUACAACGCAAAUUCAGUUCAACAAGGUUCUUUGGCUUGAAAUUUGAUGGCAGUGUCCUUAAUGGAUAUGUGUCCCAAUGAAGAUAUCUCAAUUUUUUAGGAAGAUAAUCUAGGCCAUUUGGAAGCUGCACUUUAGAGUAUGAAAGUUGCUCUUCAGUGCUCAUGCUUGGAAGCUUUUCAAUCUCAUAAAACUUAGGUACAUAAAAUUUGAACAAUCUCAGAUUAGACAUAUUUGUGAAGGCUCUGGGGUCUAAAUUGAUGCCUUUUAUUUUGGACAGAUCUAGAAAUAUGCCUUCAAUUGCAUCGGUCCCCUUAUAAAAAAAAAAACAAAAACAAAGAAUGGGUAAGCCUAAAACAGAAAAGAAACAUUCGUAAACUUUAUUAACUAAGAGCUCCUUAAACAAAACAAAUUCUACAAUCUUUGAUUUAUUUUUUAAAUAUAUUAAAUAUCUAUAUGCGAGAAAAGAAAAUUUUGGGGACCAUUGCAAAAUUAAACUAACCGAAAAAAAAAAAUCAAAAUUUCUCUAAUUUACAAACCUGUUAUCUUAAUAUUUAGAAGUUGAGAAGACAUGGCUUAUUUGAUUGGUAUAAGAUUUCGAAUUUUUUUAGAGUCCAUAGAAUCCAAAAUAUUAGUCCAAAAUUAGGGAAAAAAAUGAAAGAUUUUUUUACCACUAGCUAUAAUUGUAUUCAAGUCAAAUUGAGAUACGACCCUUUUCGAAAGAAUUUAUCCGUCUUACAGCCUCCUUAAGAUACAUUUAAGCUAAAAGGAGUGAUUGGAGGCAGAACUAGGUGGGCCAAUCAGUCCAUUUUAUUAGCGAUUGUUGCUUAAAAAAAAUGAUACUCUAAAACACACUUACUUUUUUUGAAAAAAAAAUAUAAUUAUAUUGAAAUAGAACCAGGUGGGCCAAUUCUCAUGGCACUCACUUUGUUCUUACACACUUCACUAAAUUUGAAGAAAAAUAAAAUUAUACUCUUCACACUCUUAUUCAACAUUUCAAAAUUGAUAAAAUCUGGAGUUUUCUUUAAAAUUUUAAAAUUUGAAGACUUGUUCUCUUGACACCCUCAGUCAUUAAUUUCACCUAAUUAUGGUUUUGAUGAUUUUGGUUGUUUUGUUCAUAAAAUAAUUUUACUAAAGGAUGUUCUCGUAAUAAUAAAAAUUAUAAAAAAAACAUAGGUGUGCUGGUGUGGUUGGGAAAAUACGAGUGCAGAACUCGAAACAAAUAAAAGAUGUAUAAAAUAAUGGAGGAUUCUUACCUUAUUAUGCUUUAGUACGCGGCUGAUUUCCUUAGGAUCCCACAACCUGCUGCGUUUGCCUGGCUCUUUCUCAGAUUCUUGGCGAACAAUCUGUCGCCCCAUUUCUUGCAAUAUAUCAUGCAUGUUCAAGAAAUUACCUGAUAUUGAUACGAGUGACUUAUCAAUAAGGAUAUCCAGCACAUCAGACUCAGAAUCAUCAAGAAUGCUUGCCACAAAAUCUUUAUCCUCUCCCUCAAAGAAACACGCAAUAUCUAGAAAUAUACUCUUCACCCUGGGCGUUAAUUUGUUAAAACUAAUCUUUAAUAUAUCAUAAAUAUCAUGAAUUUCAGAUUCACAAAUCCGAUUUAAGUCGUGCAAUACUUUUCCCCAAUGGCUUUUCCUCUUGAGGCACAGGGAGGAACCCAACACUUCAAGAACUAAUGGAUUGCCUUUGGUAUAUGAUACAACACUCCGUGAGUGCCAGUUGAGAUCUUCAGGACAAUGAUUUUCUUUAAAAGCGAAGUUACAAAAAUGCUCGAAAGCCUCUUCAAAUUCCAAUCCAUUAACCCUAUAUAUUUUCUUCUCCUCCCCUCUAAAUUUUUCGAGGACUCGUUUGUCUCUGGUGGUUACAACAAUUCUACUUCCUUGACCAAAUUGAUCAAGCUCUCCAAUCAGACGCUUUAAUUGUCCAACUUCAUUCACAUCAUCGAGUACUAUCAACAACUUCAUGCGUCGGACCCUCUCUUUAGUAAAAUGUGGAAUAUUGGGACCAGCUACUUCAAGUUUUUCGCUUAAUGUUGUUGAAAGCAUUUGCUUUUGGAGAUGUUCUAAUCCACCCGCCGUUUCUGAGUUUCCCCUAACAUCUGACACAAAGCAACUACCUUCAAAUUCAUGGGAGAAUUGGUCGAAAAUAGCUUUGGCAAGGGUGGUUUUGCCGAUACCACCCAUGCCCCAAAUUCCAACAAUUUGGACGGUAUCCGAUGAAUCCAUACACAGAAAUGGUUUAAUCUGCUCAAUUCGUGAAUUUAAUCCAACUAGGCCAUUGGAUGAGUCCGUUGAGACUGUUAUUUUUUCCAACUUCUUCAAAACAUCUUCGACAAUUUUGUUUACAAGUUGCGCAUCAUGCCUAAUACAAAGGUGCAAAGAUGCAAAAACAUUGAGUCAAAUCGGGCCAUGACAGAAACAGAGAAAAGAUGAAUUAGGAAAGAGAGUUACCUGAAUUUCGCGGAUUCGUGGCCGGCUAGAUGGGAUGUUUCUGUCAGUGCAUCCCUCCACUUCAGAACCAUUUCUGGUUUAUCUUGGAACUGUUUUUUGAGCUCAUCAAAACCGUCUCCAAAAGUUCCAUUUUGAUGCCGCACAUCAGAUGGACUUACUCCAUAGAAAACCGGAAUAAUGAUUUGGCCCUUCAUCUUCUUGCAUUCAAGAAUCUUGAGAAGUUCAUGCAGGCACCAUUUUGAAGAAGCGUAGUCCUUUGAGAAAAUGACCACCGAAAUUUUUGAACCUUGGAUUGCGUUCAAAAGGGCAGGUGAAAUCUCAUCUCCUCGCCUAAGCCCUUCAUCAUCAAUAAAUGUUCUGAUUUUCUUUCUUUCAUACAAAUUAUCAUAGAGAUGGCAAGUAAAGCUCGUACGAGUGUCCUCCCCUCUAAAGUUGAGGAAGACUUCAUAAUUGCCAGAAGAAGAAGAAGAGGAAGCCAUGAAGGAAAUUUUAGAAAUUUUGGUGACAGAAACAGAGAAUUAUUCUUGGAAGUUGAGAGAGGAGAUGUAAGAAUGAACAUGUGUGAAGAUUCUUGCGAGUACAUAGUAAAUAAUUGAAUGGCUGGAGCUUUCUUAGUUUCCUGGAAAUUUCCUGGAGCUUUCGUAUACAUGAUUUGUCAAGUCAUGAAAUAUAAUCAUGAUAAUGGGGCAGACCAGGAAGAAAAGCAACAAUUCAAAUAUUUGAUUCGACCAAUAAGGGAAGGAAAAGCAAAGAAAGGAAAUGUUGAAAGUAGAUGUAGGGAAUUAUAAAAAGCAAAAGGAAAAUGGAAUUUUGUGCAAUUUCAAUAUGAGAACCUAUAUUGGGAGAUAUUAUAAUCGAAUUAAAACUUAAAAUUUCAAUAUUAUUAUUCUUUUUUUAAAAAUUGAGAUAUCAGAGUAAUAUCACAUAGAAAAACUUGCCCACGGUAAGCCAAAAGUCUAGUCAACCACAUGCAUAAAGCUAACUAGAACAAGAGAACAGAGAAACGCGUGGGUCCCUAAAAGAAAAGGCAAGCACAUAAAUAAAUGAAAAAGCCAUGACGUUUCUAUUUUACAUGUCAUUCCUAAUUUUUGUAACACGGUGUGGCAGCAUAUGCACAAUCAAAUGAAGCAAAAGGGGUUCAACUAUCGUGGCAGAACAUGGACGAGGACGCGUGAUGAAUAAUUCCUUCGAUAAAACGAAAAACAAACGCAGAGAAAAGAAUUUCUUACAUGACAAGAAAUCAAAGUAAUGUGAAGGAACAUGAUGAAGAAAUUGCAGACCGAUCAAUUAUCCCCAUGGACUCCUAUAAAUUCAACCAAAAUAACAAUUCCAAUAUUACCAAAUUCUUGAGUUAAAUUUAUUCAAUGCUUUUAUUUUUGGGGGAAAUUAGAACCGCGGCAAGUAUAGAAGACAUUGAGGUGUAAAGCAACAUUAAUUUCAUGGGUUAUGCCUUAUACACAUAAUAUAUUUUCAGUCCAAAUUCAACUAUGCAAAGAGGCUUGAGAACUUAAAAUUAAGCACAAACUAAACAGACGAAGUAAAUACAUGAUUAUGCAACAUAACAUUAAUUCUCUCAAUUUAUAACUGUUUUUGCUACAUGAAUCUUGCACAGUUAAUCCUAAUUGAAUUCUAAAAAAGAACGAUUGGAACAAUGUUAUUUCAAAAACGUACGUUCAUAAGCGGGUCGGUCAGCAGAGUAGAAACCUUGGAUCAGGGUAUCAACUUGGAAACCAAAUUUCUUGUAAAGAUUCACAGCGGGAGUUCUCAAAGGAUCAACAUGAAGCGUUAUGCAGAGCACAGUUCUGGUUCUGCAUUUCUUAAUUGCUGCUUCUAGCAGUGCCUCUCCGUGACCUUGUCCCCGAUAAUUCUCCUUCACUAAUUAAGUUAACCCCAAAACCCAUUAAUUUCAUGUCAAUUAAAAAGAAAAAGAGAAUGAAUAACUAACAAAUAUUUCUUUGAGGACUUUUAUCAAACAGUUGAGAUGGCGGGCAUGCAGUGGAAAUUUCAACAAUGGGGACAAAGAUAUGGGACCUGCAAGCUUGGUGAUAGAAGCAGACAAGGAAGUAGGCCACGCGUACAUGACGUGGCCAACGACUUGUCCGUGAAUCUGAAUGUAAAGCAGGCCUGAGUUCUUCUUUUUCAGUUCCUCAUCAAAAGAUCUUGCCAGUGAUUCGUGCUUGGGAAAAAUCUUCUUCUCCAUCUUCACAAUCUCGUCCACUACGACAGUCCAGUUCGUUGAGUUUCUCUGCAGCUCCGUGACGGUUCCAUUACUCCCCAUGGCACGUGGCUUGUUGCAACUUACAGCUGAUCCAGCACGUAUAGAAAAUUAGAAAUGAAGCCUCCUAGCAUUCUUUCGAACAGGCAAAAAAAGUCAAUGGACAUAGUGGUGCCAUGUGUGGAAAUGUUAAGAAGAUGAUGAAGCCCCCAAGAGGCCAGCGUGGCGUGGCAUUGCACCUCAUCAUUUUUUUAAUGCUAAUCUGUAGAGCGGCCCAAAAUGCCGGCACAAUAUAUAGCUGGCAAAGCCCACCCAAGCCCAACUAUUUGGGCCAACAUAUCAUAAAUUAAUACAAAUAUAAAAUGCACGGUACAACGCAGACAAAGAUGAUUUGUGCAGAUAUGUGCUUCCUUUAUGGGUUUAAUUAUAUUGGUACCGCUCUAAGGUAGAGUAUUCUUUCAUAACUACAUGAUUAAAGUCAUAAUGAAUUUUUUAUUAUUUAUUAUUUUGCGUGUGUGAUUGAGAUUCGUGAUCCACCAUAGAUUAGCUCCAACAUAGCAGUAGCCUUCUUUUAUUGCUCAUCAUCUUUAGCAAACAGUCAUUGGCUUUGGAUGUUGCUACAAUUUAUUUUGCAUAAUUGACAAGGAUAGUCGAUGUGCAUAAUGUUGGAAAUUUUAUUAUAAUAUAUCAAAACACGUAAUAAUUGUUUAACUAUAUUAAUACUGGAUUAAUUUGACGAAUUAUGAAAUGACAGUAGGCAUUAUAUUUUAGAGGAAAAAUUAAAUAUAACAACCUAAAAAGUAGGGAUAAUCUCUUAACCAAACUAAAGAUGUAGGACAUCUAAAAGUAAAUUUAGCUAAUGUGUAGUACAAUUACAACAUCUUAGAAUAUGUCAAAACUUGAAGUGUUGUUGUGUUGAAAUAAGUUCCUAUACUAUUAUGGACAUGUAUGAGAUGUACUAAAAACAAAUUAAAUAACCCACAAUAGAUAUGACACGACCACCAAAAGAGACACACUAUUCUCACUAGGUAGUUGUAACAAGAGCGAAAUGUUUUAACCUAUAUCUACAUGCAUUACUAGAAAAAAAGGUCUUUAUUACAAGUAUUACCUACCAUCUAUCAUGUUGCACGAUAAUUGAGUGACCGUCAUUGAUUUCGGUGUCAAGAAAAUAAGAUGAUUGUUUACAUACGUCAUUUUAUGUAUGACAUAUUAUCUGAUACUAUUUUGGUCAUAACUGUUUUGAUGAAAAAUUUCGCGUAUGAUUAAUAUUUGUCAUAAUCACUUCCAUGCAUGACUAAUAUGUAUCAUAAGAUAAUGACAUAUACAAAUAAAUUUGGUGGGAUUCCAAAAUUUUAAAUGAAUUUUGUUGUGAAUUUCAAAAUUUAGUGGAUAUUCAUAUUUUUUUAUUCCAUUAUUAAUUUAUUCCAUUUGUUAUUAUUUGUAUUUAAUUAAACAAAUAGUUGAAGGAAGGUCCCACCCUAACAAAAAGUUGAUGGUUGUUAUACACUAUAAAUAAGAGCGAUAACGUCAUUAUCUGCGCAGACCAAAGAGAAUUUCAAUAACUAAGUUAAUUUUAUUUAAAUAAAAAAUCUCAAUUAUAUACACGAAAGCUCGGCACGUGUGUCAGUCGCAUAUCUGAUAAUAUAUAUACACACACAAACACAUACACACAUAUACAUAUACAUAUACAUAUAUAUCUAUAUAUAAAUUUUAUUUAUAAUCUUGUAAACUGAAUUUUAUAAAAUUAUAAAAUAGUAAAAGCAUUGUAAACACUUCUCAAAUUUUAAUUCUAAAUUUUAAUUUUAGACCUGAAUAUAUACCCACACAUAUGGCAUAGGUAAUUCCUCCAUAGACUCUAGAGUUUGGGUUAAUUUUACUUCCAAGAUUAUUCAAAAUAGUAUUUUUAAUUUAUAUAGUUUAAAUAUUCAAACAAAUCUAACAUAUAACAAAGAUACACACACACACACACACACACACACACACACACACACACACAACAUGUAAAUUAAUAUUAAAUGUAAAAUAAAAUAUAAGUGUGCAAAUGAAACAUAAGACUUGUGAAUGGAAGGUAAAACAAUUAAAUCAACAUAAGAGUGGUAAAUUGAUAUAUUACCGGUAAAUAAAAUAAAAGCUUAUAAAUAUAACAUCAAACUUAUAAAUCAAUAUUAAGUGUAAAAUAAAACAUAAAUGAUGUAAAUGGAAUAUAAGACUUGUGAAUAAAAGGUAAAAUAAGUAAAUUAAUAUAAGAGUGGUAAAUUGAUAUAUCAUUGGUGAAUAAAAUAAAAUUUUUUAUUAAUAUAACAUAAAACUUGUAAAUCAACAUUAAAUAUAAAAUAAAACAUAAAUUAAGUAAAUAAAACAUAAGACAUGUAAAUAGAAUAUAAAACAAGUAAAUUGAGAAAGGAGUGGUAAAACGAUAUAUUAGUAAAUAAAACAUAAACUUACAAAUGUUACAUAAAACUUGUAAAUCAACAUUAACUAUAAAAUAAAAUAAAAAGUAAGUAAAUAAAAUAUUAAACCUGCAAAUAGAAAGUAAAACAAAUAAACUAACAAAAGAGUGGUAAAAUUAUGUAUUAUUGAUAAACAAAAUAUAAACUUACAGAUGAAACAUAAAAAUUAUAAAUCACUAUUAAGUGUAAAAUAACAUAUGAAUUAUGUAAAUGAAAUAGAAGAUUUAUAAAUGAAAUGUGAAAUAAGUAAAUAUUAUAAGAAUUAUUAAGAAAAUAAAACUUACAAAUAUAAAAAUAAAAACUCACUACAAUAAUGAUUACCUUAUAUAUUUAUUGUUUUUAUUUCUAAAUUGAAUGAUGAUAAUUUUGGGUCUAUAUAAUACAUGUAAUGAUAUUUGUGAAAUUUUAUUAAGGAUAAAACUUAUUUCUAAAAUCAAAUUUUGAAAAAAAAAUUUCAUAUUUUUCAAAAUUGUUUGCAAGAGAAGUGAUUUUGCAUCCUAAACCUGCUUGACAACAACCCUAAAUAAGAUUUUUUUUUUUUUUUUUGGCUUGAUUCACAUUAAGAAAAAUAAUUUUACUUAAUUAACUUGUAUAUUUAACAAAUAAUAUGACGGAAAAAGAAAAAAAGGUUUAUAAGUGUCCUAGCAUGAACAUAGAAUUUAUGGUUAAACCAAUUUAAUGAAAUUUAUUCCAAUUGUCUUCAAUAUAAAUUAUUUGUUUUCAAUUGAACAGCAACUUUUUUCAUUACUUAAAUAAUUAAAAAAUAAUUUUUUUUAAAAUUAAAGUUUCAUGCUAAUUUACAAGCUUAUGUUAUUUUAUAAGUAACACUAAUUUACAGUUCUUAUAUUAAUUUACUUGUUUUACCUUUUAUUUACUAUCUUUAUAUGUAAUUUAUGAAAUUUAUAUUUAUCACGAUAUUGAUAUCGUAAUUUUAAUCACGGUAUUGUAGAAUUUUCCUUAACGACAAAUAUGAGCUUGAUAUCGUCUUUUCAUCUGCAACUUCCUUUAUUUAUUUAUUUAUUUAUUUAUUUUGAGAGAGAGAGGGCAACUUCCUUUGAUUCAAAAUUGGGAACUUUUUGGCCUUUCAACUUAGGCUAAUGUUAAUUGCUAAGUUACACACAUGUAACUUACAAUCAUCUCACAUGAAUAGUGAAUGGUGUGGGCUCACUCACUAUUUAUGUGAAAGAGUUGUAAGUUAUAUGCGUGUAACUUAGGGGGAUCCUUCAACUUAACCUUACUAAACAUCUUCGAUCCUUUCACUAAAUUAAAGUUUUCUCAGUCUCCUUGCCCAUGUCAAAAGACUAAAAUACCCUUUAGGCAUCAAAAUUUCUCAAUAAGACAUGGAGAUGAAAAGAAUUUAUUAUGUGACUGUUCUAAUGCUAUAUUGAUGGUGUGUAAGACAUUACAAUUGUAGGAAGAAGAGGAUGAAGUCAUGAAACACAGACGAAUGAAAUUAAAAAUCUACUUUUUUUAUUUUAAAUAUCUACUGUUGGGUUAUACAAGAUCAAUAGAUGAGAAUUUAUGUCAAUAUUUGAAAUUAAAAAUUUUAAUUAAAAUGGCUAGUCCUUUUUUAAUACUUUUUAAAUAAAUUCUUCAGUGUAAUAUGACAACUGAAAUUUGUACAAGGUAAUCUGAAAAUUAAACGAAUCUAAAAUCUAAAAAUAACUUUCAAAAACGGAUGAAAAUCACUGAUUAAGAAUAAUAUAUUAUGUGGUUGAAGCUUUCGUUUUAUCAAUCUUCUUUCUACCAUUGAUUUUCCCACGACUUUCCGGUUUCAUUUCUUGAAUCUCCAUGGAAACUUUCAAUAAACCAUAAAAUAAACUAGCGGUGUUUGGUUUUAAGAAAGGGAAUGAGAGGAAAAUAGUGAAAUGUAAGGAAAAUGAGAAAAGAGGAGUGAAAAAGGAUAGUGAAAUUAAAUUUCAUUAUUUAGUUUGACAUAAAAUUUGAUAGGGAAAAGAAUUGUAAUUUUUUUCUUUGGAUAAAUUUAUCCUUUGCCUUAAAUAUUAAAUUAUCUAUAUUAGUAAUAAAAUAUAAUUUAAUAUUAAUACCAAACUUUUUUAAUUUCAAAAAGUUCUAAAACAAUUCAUGAUUUAUAUUUAAUAUAAAAUAUAAAAAUAAUUUAAUAUAUUAAACUAUUUAAUAUAAUUUAAUAUAAAUAAAAGCUAGACAACAUAAGUCAACGCCGGUCAACAUAAGUCAUCACCGGUCAACAAAAGUCAACAUCGGCCAACACAGGUCAAUGGAAGUCAAACGCCGGCCGGAUAUUUUCUGACAAAAUUCCGGCGAGUUCCGGCUGAGAUCCGGUGUACCGACGGUGGUUCGGCGAAUUCCGGCGGUUGUCCGGUGACCUUCCGGAAAGGUCCACAUGGAAGUCCAUUUAUAAUGUUAAAUCAAUAAAAUAAAAUUAUAAAUAAUAAUUAUUAAUGACAUUAAAUAAAUUUAAAAAAUGAAAGGUUAUUUUGAAAAUUUUAGUUUCUAAUAUAAGAAAAUUUUAAAUUAUUCACUGCUAAGUCUGAAAUUCAAAUUCUACAUUAUAAUGAAUAUUAAAUUCAAAUGGAAAUUAAAUUCUUAUACAUUUUCUCAAAUUAAAUAAUAGAAAUAAAAGAAUUUUAAAUUAUUUUUCUCUCCUACAUUCUCUCCUCCCAACCAAACACCAUUUAAUGAAUCAUUUUCUGGAACACAACUAUAAUUUUAAUAAAUGGGCGGACCAUCUAGAAUAGUAUAUAUAAUUCUGUUUAAUUAAUAAGUUGAAAAAACCAUCAAGAGAAAUUCUAAUAUUAUGAGCUUGACACAAAUUCUUCACUAAUUCCAAAAUAAGGAGUUGUUUUAUAAGAACUGUGGUGUCUAUGUUUUCUAUACAUUUCGCUGCUAACUUUAACCAAUUACUUUAUUUCAACUUUAUUUUCUGGCGGGCACUAUAUGGUGGGUCCAAAAUGGGACCUACAAUAAUCAAUCAUAAGAUUUAGUACGGCUAUCAAAUAGCUAGUGCUAUUUUGGGUUUGAUGGAAGAGAUUGAAUAUUUAAUUUUAACUUAACCAUUCAACUAAUUAGAAAAUAAAUAAAAUUAAAUGAAAUAUUUAGAUAUUAAUUUAAAUAUUAAUAUCGGGAUAUAAAUUAAUUAUAAUAUAGUUCAUUACAUAAAAUUGAUUAAAUUAAUAAUUACACACGAACAUAGAUGUAUAUGCGUUCCAAUUUCCAAAGUGCUCAAAGCACUUUUCUCACCGAACUUUCCUCUGAAUUUCCCAUAGCUGACUCCUUUGUUUGCAUUUUUGGAAAUUUUUAGGAGCUUUUUCUAUUUAGUAUAUUGUACAUUUUUCUUUUCAGGUGAGAUUAAUUUAACUUAAAUUAGAAAAUCUUAUCUUUUUUUAAUAUUAUUUAAAUAAAAUCUGUCUAUCUUUCAUUUUAUCUGUCUACUUUCUACCCAUUAAUUAAGACUUUUCGAUUUCUUUUUGCCUAAGAUUUUCAUUGACUAUCUUUCAAUAAACCAUAAAAAUUACUGUGUCAUUUAUCGAUUAGAUGACCAUAUUUCAAAAUAUCAACAAUAAGUUGCUCUUAAAUAUUUCAUUAAUUGUUGAAGAAUUGUGAUCAGUGUGGACAUCUACAUAAAAAUUAUAUUGAAACACAGCUAAAAGAUAAAAAAAAAUAAAAUAAAUAGCAAUACACUAAAAUGUUUUAGUUGUCGUUAGUUUUCAGUUUCAUUACUUAAGUCCCACGUGCAUAAGUCACGUGACUGAGGUCAAAAAAAUGAUUGUCACAUUAAAGUUCGAGGUACCGAGAGGGGUAAUUAAGGAGUGGAGCUAUUGACACCCCUAGAUUAAUCUUACAAAACCCCACUUUAAAUAAAAUUACAAUUAAGGACAAUUGAAAAUUAAACAAUUAUAGAUUUUUUUUUACAGUAAAUUACUUAAUUCAUAAUCAAUCCUUUUUAAAAAAAAAAAAUUAUAUGUUACGUCCUAUCUAACUAAAAUAAAUUGUACAAAUUUAGAAUAAUCUAUUAUUCUCUUUUGAUUUCUUAUUGAUUAAAUAUUUUUAUACUUAAAAUUGCUUUGAAAUUAUAAUUUGAAAUAUGUGUUAUUUCAGCCAAUGAUUAAUACAAAAAAAUUAUCACCCAUAUAAUUUUUUAAUUUUUUUGUAGGGUAAUAAUAAAAUUGAAAAUAAUUAAAAAAAAUAGCACAAUAAUGAGUUUUUACAAUAAAACAAAUCAAAUAAAAAUUGAAAAUUUAGAAAAGUGUAUCUAAAAAAAGGGGCAUUUUUAAAAAUAAAAUGAAUAUAACUAAAAAGGAGGUUUUAUGAGGGGAUUAGAGGGGUGCCAAUAGUCCAACUCUUAUAUUUAAAGCUAUUUUGACUUUGUAUUUCCAAUGAUAUAUUUAUUAGGUAAUUUUUAAUUGAGUCAUUAUUUGUAGAAAAGUUUUCUGAGGCCAGAAGUUUAUAAAAUGAAUCAAUUAAAUCCCUCUAAGUAUAAAUUUAUGUCAUUCAAGUCUUUAACUUAAUUUCUUCAUUAAAAUUAUUAACAACAUCUAGGACAUUUUAGUUAAAAAACAAUUAAGCACCUUCUCAUUCUUUAUUUUUGACAAUUGACAAUAGUUUAAAGUAAAUUCAAGUAACCUAAAUUAAUGUUCUUUUAAAAAAAAAGGUUAGUUAAUGUGCAGGCAAGCAAUAUCACUUCAUGAACUGCACAUGUCUGAUUUCUUUUGAUACAAGUGGAUUUCUUUUAUAUAUAUUCAUUAUGUUAUCAAAUGAAUUAAUAAAUUGAUGAUCCUAGUGAUGUGUAGGCAACCAAUAGGACAUCACUAGUUAUACAUAUUUGAUUUGAUCGUGAAAUCCUAUAGAUUAAUUGUUUUUAAUAAAAAGAAAUUGAAGUCUUUUUUUUUUUCAUUUUUGGAAGGCAUGGAAUUAGCCCACAAUCUCAAUAAGUAGAUGUUAAUGAACAAGCAGUUGGCAAUAAUUCUGAACAUGCGAAUUAGACUUCAAUCAAUGUCGCUCAACCUGUGGGACAACAUACACAAAUUUUAUGGGUUGUACCUCAACCUCAAAAUGAAGAACCUAUGUUUUCGACAAGGAGUAGAAUAGUACAAUAUUUGCCUUGGGCUGGCAUUUAAUUCUCCAUCAUAGAAUCUAGAAGACAAUUAUCUAUUUCUUGUACUUGAAUUUCAGUUUACCUUAAUGUUGUCAAGGUGUUUGUUAGUUUCAAUUUAAUUGACUUUCAUACUUUUAGUUUCAUUUUUAGACCGAAUGUUAUUGUGGCUUUUCUAAUAUUAUAUUCAAUACAUGUUAUUUAGUUUAACAAUCAUCAUAUAUCUUAUAGACGUGAUGGAAUUAUAUGGAUAGGAAAUUACAUUUUCAUGUGUAAUUCCAAGAGUUAUGAUGGUUAUGUUUUUUAAUGGUGCUCUCUAUAUUUGAAUUAGUUUAAAAAAACUGACUAAAGAUUUUGUUUAAAUUGUUGCAGAGUUUUGUUCCCGGUUGCUCAAAUGGGUAAAACAGGCUGUUAGACUCGAAAAAAAAAAAAUUAAUGCCUAAAGGUAAAAUUGUACUUAAAGUCAUUAAUAUGAUAUAUAUGGGAAUAUAGUUAUCUUUUUAUGUUUAAAUUAACGUUUUCACUAACUUUUAUGACAAAAGAAUUAGCUGAAAAAUCUGAAAGAUAUAAAUUUAUAUUUAAAAAGGUUUAAUUGAUUCAUUUUAUGAACUUUUGGUCUUUGAAUUUUUUUUCUAUAAAUAAUAAGGACUCAAUUAAAGAUCACCCUAUUUAUUCUUGGCUGUUUAAAAAAACAAAAGAGAUGACUAGAGUUGAUCACUUUGACUAUAACGUGGGUCAUAUUGGUUGUUCUUAUAAUGGCAUGUCGAAUUUGGGAUGACUAUUACGUUGAGGGCUUGAGGUGGGAUUUCUUUCAGCUUAAAAAAAAAAAGUAUGCCGCCAAAAUUUUGCUUAGAAAGUUAAAUGUACCACUGUCAAAGGACAAUCUCACCUCUUACCAUUAACUUCGACCGUUAAAUCUGCUAUAUUUAACUAGUUUUGACCUAUGCAAUAAUUUUUUCUUAUAAGUUGUGUCAUGUGUGGAAGCUCUUUUCUAAAAAUAGAAAGGUAAAUUUGUUUUUUUUUUUUUCGGUAAGAGAUGGAAGUGGUUUUCUAAAAGUAAAGAGAUGAACUUGUUCUUUUCUUAAAAGUUUCGGGGCUAUAAGUCUCUUAACCUAAAGUUAUAAUUAUAAUUGCACUAAUAAUACAAUAAAUUUUUUAUAAAUAAAUAUUUAAGAAAUUAAUAACUUUGGGUGAAUAACAAACUUCUCCUCCCCCCCCCCCCCCGGAACUUGCACUAUAUUAAAUUAGUAAAUUUAUUAAAUGCAUAUGAUAAUAUAUUUUUUAAAUUCAUUAAGGCCCAAUGAAAAUAUAAAUUAAUAAUUAAUCAAAUACAAAAAUUAAUAACUACUAAAAUAUAAAAUUUAUAACAUUAAAGAAAUUUUUGUUUUUCUUACAACUUCAAUCAUCUAAAUUAAACUCUUUGCAAAUAUAUGCAUAUAGAGUUGUUUUUUUUUAAUCCUAAAUUGAAUUCAAUCUCCUUUCUUAAUUUUUCUUUUUUUUUUCUAGAGCAUACACCACAUUUAGUAUAUAUAAAACUUUUUUUUUCAUGUUUUAGAAAGUAGUUAUUUAAGAUUAUUAUUGCUUGAAAGACAUCUUUUGUAUAAACAUUUGGUAAAACAUAAUUAUCAUUUGAAUCAUGAUUGUCAUCAACAGAGUUAUCCAAUACCCUUUUAAUAAUCUGUUGAAUCAGUGAGUGAUUCCAUCACUACAUCUAUGCUAUUAUGGAUAGUAGUCAUCGGAGGAGAUGUCGUUGACAUGAGGAAGUACGAUUUGUGUUUAUUUAAAAGUAAAAAUAUUGAUAAAACUCUUCCUAAAAAUAAAAUAACACAGUUCUGUUUCUAAAUUAAUAAAUAUUCAUUUAUCAACAAAUUAAUAAAUUAUUAAAAUUUAUAAAUAAAUAACUUCUCUAAAAUAAUUUUUUUUCUUAGUCCUAGCAAGUAGCAAUGUUAUUUUAUAGAGGUUUUAUUUUAGUAAUAACAAUAAUAUAAUAAUAAUAAUUAUCAUUAUAUAUAAUAUUUACUAUUAUGAUAGUUAUCAUUAUAAUCAUGAGAAGAAUUUCAUUAUUUUAAAAGGGGCAAAUUUUAAUUUUUAAAAACUAUGAGAAGAAUUUCAUUAUUUCCAUUAGUUUCAUUCUCAUACACACACACACACACACAUAAAGAAAUCAAUUAUUCACAUUUCCCUAUCCAACAAAUAAAUACUGUAAAUUAUUAUUUUUUUAAAAGAAAAAUAUCAAAACGGUGUGGGUCCCAGCAUAAUCCUUCUAACCUACCGGCUCCCUGUCGGAAAAAAAAAAAGAGAAAAUGUUUUUAUUAAGAAAAAAACAAAACAGAACGUAGAAGUAGGAGCAAGCAGGCCGCGUGGCAAACCCCUGUGGGUACCACCAUACGACUUCUAAGUUCUCACCUCCCUGCUUUUCCUCCCGGGCUUGUCCUUCCCUGGGGCGGUGACAUGCGUACCCACAAAAAAAAAAUUAUCUUUCUGUAUUUUUGUAUUAUUCUUUUUCUCCGCUCAUUUUGAAUUACACUGGCAAGUAUAAAAACGACACGCGUCCCACCUAAAGUCGUGAAUGUGAAAGAAGAUUUUGUAGGACUGCCGCACUAUUUGAGCAUGCCGUAUUGAAUAACGAAGCAGUCAGUGAAGACGUAGCUGAGCGGACUUGAGAACUAAGCUUGUGACGUGGAAGACAUAUUGCAUGAGUUUGCAGCUGAGGCUUUGCGGAGGAAGUUGGUUUUUGAACCAGCCGAUCUCGUUCAACCUCGUGCAAGUAAGUUGUGGAAGCUCGUUCCUACCUGCUGCACUAAAUAAUGUGAGGUUUGUCGUUGUCAAACAGAAUCAAGUUAUAUUAUUAUUGUGAUCCUUAUGAGCUUGGAAAAUGGGCAAGCCUUUCUGCAGUUUGACCGUUAUUUAUAUGUCAGAGAAAGAGUUUUGGGUUUGAUUUUGAUUUUGAUUUGUAUUUUUUGUCAGUUUAUUGAAAUUUUUUUGUUGUAUAAAAAUUUUAAUUGUCCAAUGAAAACCUAUCCAUUUUUGUCAAAUUCAGAUACAAAUACAGUUUUAAUUGUCCAAUGAAAAUGUGUCAUCAUCAGUGCAACCAGUUAAACAAUCCUUGCGUUGACAUUUUGACCGGAGGGGACAUGUUUUCUGAUCCUCUUUCUGAGUUAGUGACCAGAAAUAUUGUACCUGAAGGGGCUACUUGCUUGAUUUCUUGGACCAACCUGUUGUCGAACAUCAUGGUGGGUCGAAGCUGAUAAAAAAUCUUCUUCUACACAGGAUGGAAUAUUUCCAGCUAGCAGUGCCCUGCAGUACGUAAACUGUCUAGAGUGGCAUGGUAUAGUACUGCUCUUCUUGUGUUGUUUUCAACUUUAAUGUCAUACCAGGUUCAUCGUGUUUAUGGAGUAAAUUCUAGAAGUUCAACAAAUUUUGCUUUGCAAAAUGUAUAACUUAUUAAUCAGAGUCCUGUUAUGAUGAUUUGACGCUGACUGAACAUAUUCUGUUGGUAAUUUAUUUGCACUUUUCUUGGUUGAAUUAUUUGCUGGCUCCACGCGGUUACUAGGCCAGUAUUUUUAUGAUUUAUCGAUGGAAAGGUCUUCACAUAUUAAAUUCAACCUCAUAAGUGUAAGACUGACUGAUUCUGUGCAAAUUUUCAGGAAAAGAAACUAGACUUUAUGGAAGCAAUGAAGCUGAAAAGGAUAGACCUUUAUUGUCAAUUGGAACUGAUCCUGCCUCUAUAAAUCCAAAUGGAUUGCUUGAUGAAUCUUAAAUAGGAAGACCAUGUAGAGUAGCAAGCAAUCUUGCUUUACUUGGCCAAGUUUUCCUACAAAUAUUGUCAGUGCAAUUGGCGUUGAGAAUAGUGAUGAUAGUGUUUUAGACUUCUGGAAUAUUACUAGAAUCAGAGAGGGUUGUUCUGGUGCCAGGUGCGAUGUUUGUGCAGAAACUAAGGUGCCUGCUCGUGCCUCCUUUACUGUGUCUUCAGUUGGAGCUUCACAAUCCCCUUUGUUGUAUUCUCAAUGCAGAAGAAAGGUUUGCAGAGUUUGUUGUGCAGGAAGAGGAUCUCUACUGUUUUCAAAUUAUAAAUCAAGGGGUGUAAAAUGGCUUCUCAAGUCAGGGUGGACCAAGCCAUGGCAGCCAAGUUGAUGUAUUUACCAGUCGUUCACUAUCACUGGAUGGCAUAAUCUGUAGACAAUGCUGCCAUGAGAUUGUGCUUGAUGCAUGUUGGGCUAUGUUAGGUUCUUGACUAGCUUGGGAAGAAGUGCCGUUGCAGAAAAUGCAGCUUAUAAUGCUUGGAACGAGGUUGUUGGAUCUUUCUUAAAGGAUAAUCUUUCUGAAAGGAUUCAGUCUUAUGAUAAUGAGCAAGCUGUCAAAGUCCUUCACCAAUUAUAUGGAGAGUCAUUUUGUAUCAGUGAAAUCCAAUAAAUGAAGGAAUCACUUGCUGAAUUUCCAUUUGCUAGCUUUUUGCACUCGGUAUGUUCUUGGUUUGUACUCGGUUCUCAUCAAAUUAUGUUUUCCCUUUGCCUCUUUAGGUUAAAUUUAUUUUCCUGGUUAGAAUCUGUAGAAAUAUAUUUUAGCAUUUAAGCUUUAUGAUAUAUGCCCAGAACAUUCCUCUCACUUAUCCAUGGAAAUCCCUGUCUGGUUUAAUUUUCAAUUGAGAUAUUUUUGUGGACCCUGAGUGGGUUCCAUAUGCUAAUCAUCUUUAAGGUAAGGCGAUGGAGAAUGCCUUGAGAAGCUAAAAACCUAUUACAAGGAAAAGCUCUUGCAUUGUUUUGUGCAAUCUGUGUGCUACCGAGUCACGUCUCUAAUAAUUUCAAAGUUUGCUUGAUUGGAAUUUUUUAUCUUGGUAUGAUUGUUUAUUUUAGAUUCCUUGGUGCCACUGUAGGUAUGGCUCUCAUUCAUGGCUUCUACUUCAUCUUCCAAUCCUUCAACUACUGUUACUCUUUCUUCUACACUUUCUUUGCCGAAAUCUUGCACUUCUCAUACUGCCAACAAAAUUAAAAAUCUUGUAGAAUACUCCUACAUCCCUGAAUCCGCCCAAAUCAGUGAAUCUUCUUACCCUCUCAUCAGCCCUUACCACCUAUACAAACGCCCCAGUUCUUUUACCCGUAGUAUCCGUACUCUCAUAACCACCCGAAGACCUCACCCUAAAGAAUAUAUCCAGUCUUCUCGCUUGGAUCAGUGUUCACUCCAAGCAACCCCUGCUGAGCAAUAUGUCACUCUUGAAAUACCCUCAGAGUUAAUUUCCAACUGGAAACGAGAAUGUUACACUCAUCUCCAUCUUGGAGGUAUCAGAUUAAUCCUUACCCUUCAUGGGCGAAAAGGAUUACCGGUUACAGCUCGCCUUGCUAUGCUUGAUACCCGGUUUAAACAGUACCCAGAUGCUGUUAUUGGCACUGUCCUCACAACCCUUCAUGCAGGAAGUGUGUUACUCACUUUCUAUCCCAACUUCAACCUUUCUCUCCAAGAUCCCAACUUGCCCACAACCUUGAAGGUCCAAAUCCAACUUCAAGGUGUUGAACAAAUUUCUUCUGCCAAAAUUGCUACAUUACACCACCAACUGGUCUAUAGGCUUCAAAAUCAUGUCUUAGAUCUACCCACACCAGAACACCACUCUGACACCCUCAUGGUGUUAGCAGAAUCUGACCAGAUCCCGACAAUCAUCCAGAUCCCACGACAAAUUCCUCGUCAUGAGCUCAUCAAGCUUAUGCCUCUUGAAUGGAUCUCUAACUAUGAACAGUUCCACAAUAAUACAGCUCCCAUUCAGACAUCCGAAAGUAUGUUUGAAAGACGACAAGAUGGAACAGUCAGAAUGACUUUUAAACCACCUCCCAGUGCUCCACAAGAGCCUCCUCGGCUCUCCUUUACUUAUUCCUCAAUGAUCACAGCUGUUCAGACAGCCCAAGAAGAUCUGCCCAUUACAGGGUUUAAUUCUGAAGGUUACCCUGUUUAUCCAGCCAAACACAAUGGCCAUUUCCUAUGGGAUGCCCCUGGUUCCGGCAUGUGUGACCCAAAUUGUCCCUGCUGGGAUGAUUGGGAAGAAGACGAUGAUUAUGCAACCACAAGGAAAAAGAAACCCAAAAAGAAAAAACCUUCUGUCCCAUGUCACCACUGUGACGCCAAACCACCAUCAGAUCCUCCACCUCCACCAGCUCCAUUACCCAUCUAUCGAAAAGAACUCAAAUGGAUUGCCAAACAUUGCAAAUCUGAGAUUCCAUCACCACUUUCAAACCCAACGCCUAUCGUCCAACCACUGGCUUGUAUGAUGCUUUCCUCUACCUCUUCUGAUUACUCUUCUUCCUUUCCUUCUUUGGAACCCCACACAGAUCCCCAACGAAAUGUUGUGUCAAAACCCUUUAUCCCUUCACCUAUUACCUCUACUGGCCACCUGGAGCCCCCUAAACCCUUUGAGUCAGUCCUCAACUGGCAAACUCAAAAUGCCAGGGCCCAAAAUGAUACUUUGUUGCAUCUCAAUUCAAAAGUUGAGAACAUCAGUUUGCGAACUGAACAGAUUGAGAAAAAAGUUGACUCCAUCACUGCACAGAUGCAGCAGAUUUACCAAAACCUCCAGUCCAGAAUUUCUCAACUUGACUCUGAGUUACGAGCCAUGCUUGCCCAUCGUUACUCAGGCCCCGAAUUUGACCAAAAAGAAAGGGAAAUCAGACGCUUAAAAGCUGAACUUGCUCAGAUUGAAUCUGAAAAACAGAGACCUACCCUUUUCACCACUUCACCUCCUAUCCCUUCCAUCGGUCCAACUUAUCAUCCUUUUGCCUCUAUGCUUUCUCCUAUUAAACAGUAUGACCCUUCCAAGUUAUUUGGUAUGACUCAUACUCUUUUCAGAGACAAUCAUUUGCCACCACCACCUAAACCUAAACCUAAACCCAAACCUAGACCGCAGCCUCGCCCUGCCCCUCUUCAUCCUUCCUCAUUGACCAUCCCUGGCCAACCAUCUCCUAGUUCUACACCGGCAUCACCACCAGCUCCUUUAUCAGUCCCUACCCAAUCCAAGGAUAAAGAACCCAUGCACCAAUUUACUGCUCACACAGUCACCCAUUCAUCUACUACAGUCGAUUAAACUUCUGAUUCAAAUCCAGCUGUUUCAGAUAGCCCUACCGAAACUGAUACAGAAUCUUCAGUAUCCACCAGUGACUCUGAAAAGUCCUAUGCUGAUAUCACCAAAAUCCUGAUGGCUCAACCUGAUCAACCUACCCAAGGCCAAACCUCUCAUACAGAACCAUAUGUUGAUAUUCCCUCCGAAGUUGAAGAAGAAAUGCCUGAAUCUUCUGCCACAAACCAACCUUCUCCAGCCCAGACCAAUCCACCCAGUCACAAAUCGUCAAAUGGUCCAUGGUUCACAUUUGAUGAUCUUCCAUCUCAUAAAUGGUGUGACCGACUCAAUGAAAUGUCUGCCUGGAUUGACCUCCAGAUGCUAAGACCAGGAGCAACAACUCAAUCAGUCCUUAGAGAAUUUGCUACUCGUUUCACGGGUGCUCUAAGAGAUUGGUUUAAUUCGUUAGGACAAUACCGCCAACUAUAGUUUGUUGAUCUCCCAGAAGUCUCAAGUGCUCUUGCUGUACUUCAUGAUCAAUUCCUUGGAGACCCUUCUGCAGUCUUUGAAGCUGCCAGACGAGAUUAUCUCAACAUGAAAUGCUGCUCCCUCAAUGCUAAGGAUCUUGACUUUCAGUAUAAGGGAAUGUCCCUGCUGUUCUAUAAGCUUAAUGGAUUCAAUGAACCGACAUUAAAGCAUGUCUUUCUGGCUUCCCUCCCCGAAGAACUCCAACCCAACAUCCAGAGACAACUCACCGCAUCCAAUCUUUCCCUAGACAACAUCUCUCUUGGCAAAAUCUUUCAGCUUGCCAAAACUUGUCUUGACAAACUUUGCGAGCAAAAAGAGUUUUUCAAAGAACUGUUGAAAGACAAAGAACCUUUCCGAAGUGCUUGCAAAAAGCCUUAUUUGCAGAUCAAAUGCCACAAGAAAAAAGAUUGCGAUUGCAGUUCAAAGAAAAAACGGCAUUUUCAGAAAUUCAAAACUCCAGAAUUUUCAUCCAAACCUCGCAGAUCGCGAAAGCCCUACCGAUUCUUCAGAAAGAAAUCUUCCUCCUCCAGAGAAUUCAAACGAAAGCAAUCAAGCAGAUGUUUCAUCUGCAAGAGAAAAGGCCACUAUGCCAAAUAUUGUCCCAACAAAAGAGAAAAAUCCAUCCGGUUAGUUGAGCAUCUUCAAGCAACUACCGACUACUCUCCUGCCAAAGAUGAGCUGGAAUUCUAUUUCUCUGAACAAGAUGAACCCAAUGAUGAAACAGUGUUCGCACUACAGAAUUCCUCUGAUUCAGACAGUGACCAGUCUCAAGUGAUUUUCCAUCAACAGUCACUCUCCCUUGAUACUACAGUUCCUAUCCCAUCCAUCAAACUCCAGAUCUUACCCUCAAAAUUCCAAAGGUCCAUUCCAGCAAUUGGUCUUAUAGAUACUGGCGCCAAACGCAGCAUGUUAAACCCCCAUAUUCUUCCAUCCGAAUAUUGGACCCAGUCUGAAGAACAUUUCAAAGCUGUCAAUGGCAAACUCUUCACCACCUCUUUGAUUACCAAGAAACCCAUUGGCAUUCAAAUCUUCCCAAAUUAUGUCAUUUGGACCAAAGUUAUUGGUUCAACUCUUCCUAAUAAGGAUAUCUUGUUAGGAUUUGACAUCCUUCACCAAACCAAACACCUCCAAAUCAUUCCCACUGGAAUCCGUGUCAAGUCCAUGUUCAAACCAUUCACAGACAUUCUGAAGCUCUACAAUUUGUCUGAAACUCCCCAGUCUUACCAGGAUAUCUCAACCAAACUUUUGAGUUUCUGUCCAGAGUCCCAUUCUGAGUUCACCCAUCCAAAUCCUUUGUGGAAAAAUAAGUCCUUCUUCAUUAAGUUACCCUUCAAACUAAAUGAAGACAUCAACCCGACCAAAGCUACUCAUCCAGGAAUGAGUCUUUCUGACUUACUCCUAGCCCAACAAGAAUGUUCACAAUUGUUAGCCCAAGGUUUAAUUGAGCCCACAAGUUCUCCAUGGGCUUGCCAAGCCUUUUAUGUUGAAAAGCAUUCUGAAAUUGUCCGAGGAAAGAAACACCUAGUCAUUGACUACCAGCCAUUAAAUAUGUUUUUACAAGAUGACAAAUUUCCUUUACCUCGCCGACAAAGCAUGUUUACUUUUCUAAAAAAUGCCCAGAUCUUUUCAAAAUUUGAUUUAAAAUCAGGUUUCUGGCAACUAGGCAUUGAACCCUCCGAACGCUACAAAACCGCUUUUUGUAUUCCCAAUGCCCACUUUCAAUGGACCGUCCUACCCUUUGGUCUCAAAACUGCCCCAUCCAUUUUCUAAAAAUCCAUGGUCCAAAUCUUCCAACCCAUUUUGCAUCAUGCAUUGAUUUAUAUUGAUGAUAUCUUGCUUUUUUCAGGCUCACAUGAUGACCAUCGCCAGCUGUUAACUCAAUUCUAUGAUAUUCUCCAAAGUCAUGGAAUCAUGUUAUCGGCCAAGAAAAACAUCAUUGCUACAGAUAAUGUUGAAUUCCUUGGUAUGAUCAUAAAAGAUGGACACUAUCAGCCAGGAAAACACAUUGCCCAAGAAUUGCUUCACUUUCCAUAUCAGCAACUUUCCAGAAGGCAAAUUCAACAGUUUCUCGGCAUCAUCAACUACAUCCGUGAUUUCAUCCCCCACGUGGAUCAUUACACUCACCAUCUCUCGUCUUUAUUGAAAAAGAAGCCCCUAGAAUGGAAUGCUGACCACACAUUUGCUGUCACUACCCUAAAGCAGAUUGCGCAAAAUCCGCCUCCUUUAAAGUUGAUUACAGAUGGCAAGCGCAUCUUACAGACAGACGCAAGUGAUGAAUCAUGGGGUGUCAUACUCCUUGAAGAAAUCAACGGAAAAGAACACUUUAUCGCUUACGUUAGUGGACAUUCUUCUGACACACAGAAGCACUACCAUAGCGUGUUCAAAGAAAUCUUAGCGGUAAAGAAUGGCAUCAAAAAGAUUGAGUAUCAUUUGAUUGGACACCAUUUUCUCAUCCGAAUGGACGGCUCAGCCUUCCCCAAUAUCUUUCAUUCCAAAGGUAAAAUUGUUCCCGAAAAAAUGUUACUCAGAUUAAAAGAUUGGUAUUCCAAAUAUGACUUUUCAGUCAAGCAUAUAAAGGGAUCCCAGAACCUCAUCCCUGAUAUCAGAGCAGUUAAGAGCGAAGUCUGUUUUGGUUGAGAUAUCUCAGGUUAUACAACCCACGUACACUCUUAACUGCUCUGAUAUCAGGGAUGAGGUUCUGGGAUCCCUUUAUAUGCUUGACUGAAAAGUCAUAUUUGGAAAAUCAAUCUUUUAAUCUGAGUAACAUUUUUUCGGGAACAAUUUUACCUUUGGAAUGAAAGAUAUUGGGGAAGGCUGAGCUGUCCAUUCGGAUGAGAAAAUGGUGUCCAAUCAAAUGAUACUCAAACUUUUUGAUGCCAUUCUUUACCGCUAAGAUUUCAUUGAACACGCUAUGGUAGUGCUUCUGUGUGUCAGAAAAAUGUCCACUAGCGUAAGCGAUAAAGUGUUCUUUUCCGUUGAUUUCUUCAAAGAGUAUGGCACCCCAUGAUUCAUCACUUGCGUCUGUUUGUAAGAUGCGCUUGCCAUCUGUAAUCAACUUUAAAGGAGGCGGAUUUUGCGCAAUCUGCUUUAGGGUAGUGACAGCAAAUGUGUGGUCAGCAUUCCAUUCUGGGGGCUUCUUUUUCAAUAAAGCCGAGAGAUGGUGAGUGUAAUGAUUCACGUGGGGGAUGAAAUCACGGAUGUAGUUGAUGAUGCCGAGAAACUGUUGAAUUUGCCUUCUGGAAAGUUGCUGAUCUGGAAAGUGAAGCAAUUCUUGGGCAAUGUGCUUUCCUGGCUGAUAGUGUCCAUCUUUUAUGAUCAUACCAAGGAAUUCAACAUUAUCUGUAGCAAUGAUGCUUUUCUUGGCCGAUAACAUGAUUCCAUGACUUUGGAGAAUAUCAUAGAAUUGAGUUAACAGCUGGCGAUGGUCAUCAUGUGAGCCUGAAAAAAGCAAGAUAUCAUCAAUAUAAAUCAAUGCAUGAUGCAAAAUGGAUUGGAAGAUUUGGACCAUGGAUUUUUAGAAAAUGGAUGGGGCAGUUUUGAGACCAAAGGGUAGGACGGUCCAUUGAAAGUGGGCAUUGGGAAUACAAAAAGCGGUUUUGUAGCGUUCGGAGGGUUCAAUGCCUAGUUGCCAGAAACCUGAUUUUAAAUCAAAUUUUGAAAAGAUCUGGGCAUUUUUUAGAAAAGUAAACAUGCUUUGUCGGCGAGGUAAAGGAAAUUUGUCAUCUUGUAAAAACAUAUUUAAUGGCUGGUAGUCAAUGACUAGGUGUUUCUUUCCUCGGACAAUUUUAGAAUGCUUUUCAACAUAAAAGGCUUGGCAAGCCCAUGGAGAACUUGUGGGCUCAAUUAAACCUUGGGCUAACAAUUGUGAACAUUCUUGUUGGGCUAGGAGUAAGUCAGAAAGACUCAUUCCUGGAUGAGUAGCUUUGGUCGGGUUGAUGUCUUCAUUUAGUUUGAAGGGUAACUUAAUGAAGAAGGACUUAUUUUUCCACAAAGGAUUUGGAUGGGUGAACUCAGAAUGGGACUCUGGACAGAAACUCAAAAGUUUGGUUGAGAUAUCCUGGUAAGACUGGGGAGUUUCAGACAAAUUGUAGAGCUUCAGAAUGUCUGUGAAUGGUUUGAACAUGGACUUGACACGGAUUCCAGUGGGAAUGAUUUGGAGGUGUUUGGUUUGGUGAAGGAUGUCAAAUCCUAACAAGAUAUCCUUAUUAGGAAGAGUUGAACCAAUAACUUUGGUCCAAAUGACAUAAUUUGGGAAGAUUUGAAUGCCAAUGGGUUUCUUGGUAAUCAAAGAGGUGGUGAAGAGUUUGCCAUUGACAGCUUUGAAAUGUUCUUCAGACUGGGUCCAAUAUUCGGAUGGAAGAAUAUGGGGGUUUAACAUGCUGCGUUGGGCGCCAGUAUCUAUAAGACCAAUUGCUGGAAUGGACCUUUGGAAUUUUGAGGGUAAGAUCUGGAGUUUGAUGGAUGGGAUAGGAACUGUAGUAUCAAGGGAGAGUGACUGUUGAUGGAAAAUCACUUGAGACUGGUCACUGUCUGAAUCAGAGGAAUUCUGUAGUGCGAACACUGUUUCAUCAUUGGGUUCAUCUUGUUCAGAGAAAUAGAAUUCCAGCUCAUCUUUGGCAGGAGAGUAGUCGGUAGUUGCUUGAAGAUGCUCAACUAACCGGAUGGAUUUUUCUCUUUUGUUGGGACAAUAUUUGGCAUAGUGGCCUUUUCUCUUGCAGAUGAAACAUCUGCUUGAUUGCUUUCGUUUGAAUUCUCUGGAGGAGGAAGAUUUCUUUCUGAAGAAUCGGUAGGGCUUUCGCGAUCUGCGAGGUUUGGAUGAAAAUUCUGGAGUUUUGAAUUUCUGAAAAUGCCGUUUUUUCUUUGAACUGCAAUCGCAAUCCUUUUUCUUGUGGCAUUUGAUCUGCAAAUAAGGCUUUUUGCAAGCACUUCGGAAAGGUUCUUUGUCUUUCAACAGUUCUUUGAAAAACUCUUUUUGCUCGCAAAGUUUGUCAAGACAAGUUUUGGCAAGCUGAAAGAUUUUGCCAAGAGAGAUGUUGUCUAGGGAAAGAUUGGAUGCGGUGAGUUGUCUCUGGAUGUUGGGUUGGAGUUCUUCGGGGAGGGAAGCCAGAAAGACAUGCUUUAAUGUCGGUUCAUUGAAUCCAUUAAGCUUAUAGAACAGCAGGGACAUUCCCUUAUACUGAAAGUCAAGAUCCUUAGCAUUGAGGGAGCAGCAUUUCAUGUUGAGAUAAUCUCGUCUGGCAGCUUCAAAGACUGCAGAAGGGUCUCCAAGGAAUUGAUCAUGAAGUACAGCAAGAGCACUUGAGACUUCUGGGAGAUCAACAAACUAUAGUUGGCGGUAUUGUCCUAACGAAUUAAACCAAUCUCUUAGAGCACCCGUGAAACGAGUAGCAAAUUCUCUAAGGACUGAUUGAGUUGUUGCUCCUGGUCUUAGCAUCUGGAGGUCAAUCCAGGCAGACAUUUCAUUGAGUCGGUCACACCAUUUAUGAGAUGGAAGAUCAUCAAAUGUGAACCAUGGACCAUUUGACGAUUUGUGACUGGGUGGAUUGGUCUGGGCUGGAGAAGGUUGGUUUGUGGCAGAAGAUUCAGGCAUUUCUUCUUCAACUUCGGAGGGAAUAUCAACAUAUGGUUCUGUAUGAGAGGUUUGGCCUUGGGUAGGUUGAUCAGGUUGAGCCAUCAGGAUUUUGGUGAUAUCAGCAUAGGACUUUUCAGAGUCACUGGUGGAUACUGAAGAUUCUGUAUCAGUUUCGGUAGGGCUAUCUGAAACAGCUGGAUUUGAAUCAGAAGUUUAAUCGACUGUAGUAGAUGAAUGGGUGACUGUGUGAGCAGUAAAUUGGUGCAUGGGUUCUUUAUCCUUGGAUUGGGUAGGGACUGAUAAAGGAGCUGGUGGUGAUGCCGGUGUAGAACUAGGAGAUGGUUGGCCAGGGAUGGUCAAUGAGGAAGGAUGAAGAGGGGCAGGGCGAGGCUGCGGUCUAGGUUUGGGUUUAGGUUUAGGUUUAGGUGGUGGUGGCAAAUGAUUGUCUCUGAAAAGAGUAUGAGUCAUACCAAAUAACUUGGAAGGGUCAUACUGUUUAAUAGGAGAAAGCAUAGAGGCAAAAGGAUGAUAAGUUGGACCGAUGGAAGGGAUAGGAGGUGAAGUGGUGAAAAGGGUAGGUCUCUGUUUUUCAGAUUCAAUCUGAGCAAGUUCAGCUUUUAAGCGUCUGAUUUCCCUUUCUUUUUGGUCAAAUUCGGGGCCUGAGUAACGAUGGGCAAGCAUGGCUCGUAACUCAGAGUCAAGUUGAGAAAUUCUGGACUGGAGGUUUUGGUAAAUCUGCUGCAUCUGUGCAGUGAUGGAGUCAACUUUUUUCUCAAUCUGUUCAGUUCGCAAACUGAUGUUCUCAACUUUUGAAUUGAGAUGCAACAAAGUAUCAUUUUGGGCCCUGGCAUUUUGAGUUUGCCAGUUGAGGACUGACUCAAAGGGUUUAGGGGGCUCCAGGUGGCCAGUAGAGGUAAUAGGUGAAGGGAUAAAGGGUUUUGACACAACAUUUCGUUGGGGAUCUGUGUGGGGUUCCAAAGAAGGAAAGGAAGAAGAGUAAUCAGAAGAGGUAGAGGAAAGCAUCAUACAAGCCAGUGGUUGGACGAUAGGCGUUGGGUUUGAAAGUGGUGAUGGAAUCUCAGAUUUGCAAUGUUUGGCAAUCCAUUUGAGUUCUUUUCGAUAGAUGGGUAAUGGAGCUGGUGGAGGUGGAGGAUCUGAUGGUGGUUUGGGGUCACAGUGGUGACAUGGGACAGAAGGUUUUUUCUUUUUGGGUUUCUUUUUCCUUGUGGUUGCAUAAUCAUCGUCUUCUUCCCAAUCAUCCCAGCAGGGACAAUUUGGGUCACACAUGCCGGAACCAGGGGCAUCCCAUAGGAAAUGGCCAUUGUGUUUGGCUGGAUAAACAGGGUAACCUUCAGAAUUAAACCCUGUAAUGGGCAGAUCUUCUUGGGCUGUCUGAACAGCUGUGAUCAUUGAGGAAUAAGUAAAGGAGAGCCGAGGAGGCUCUUGUGGAGCACUGGGAGGUGGUUUAAAAGUCAUUCUGACUGUUCCAUCUUGUCGUCUUUCAAACAUACUUUCGGAUGUCUGAAUGGGAGCUGUAUUAUUGUGGAACUGUUCAUAGUUAGAGAUCCAUUCAAGAGGCAUAAGCUUGAUGAGCUCAUGACGAGGAAUUUGUCGUGGGAUCUGGAUGAUUGUCGGGAUCUGGUCAGAUUCUGCUAACACCAUGAGGGUGUCAGAGUGGUGUUCUGGUGUGGGUAGAUCUAAGGCAUGAUUUUGAAGCCUAUAGACCAGUUGGUGGUGUAAGGUAGCAAUUUUGGCGGAAGAAAUUUGUUCAGUACCUUGAAUUUGGAUUUGGACCUUCAAGGUUGUGGGCAAGUUGGGAUCUUGGAGAGAAAGGUUGAAGUUGGGAUAGAAAGUGAGUAACACACUUCCUGCAUGAAGGGUUGUGAGGACAGUGCCAAUAACAGCAUCUUGGUAUUGUUUAAACCGUGUAUCAAGCAUAGCAAGGUGAGCUGUAACCGGUAAUCCUUUUCUCCCAUGAAGGGUAAGGAUUAAUCUGAUACCUCCAAGAUGGAGAUGAGUGUAACCUUCGCGUUUCCAGUUGGAAAUCAACUCUGAGGGUAUUUCCAGAGUGACAUAUUGCUCAGCAGGGGUUGCUUGGAGUGAACACUGAUCCAGGCGAGAAGACUAGAUGUAUUCUUUAGGGUGAGGUCUUCGGGUGGAUAUGAGAGUACAGAUACUGCGGGUAAAAGAACUGGGGCGUUUGUAUAGGUGGUAAGGGCUGAUGAGAGGGUAAGAAGAUUCACUGAUUUGGGCGGAUUCAGGAAUGUAGGAGUAUUCUACAAGAUUUUCAAUUUUGUUGGCAGUAUGAGAAGUGCAAGAUUUCGGCAAAGAAAGAGUGGAAGAAAGAGUAACAGGAGUUGAAGGAUUGGAAGAUGAAGUAGAAGUCAUGAAUGAGAAAUUCUCUCUGCGUGUGAAGUCUAAUGAUCAAAACAGAAUAAAGUCAUAAAUUAUACCAUUUUGAGCAUGAAAACAAGAAGUAGAAGCCAUGAACAGCAAAAGAUUCAACACCAGUUUUGUCACCGCUUGCUCCAUUAAAUUCUGGAUUAAAGCAAUCAUAUCGGAGAGCUCCUCCUAGUACUACUAUUGUUGAAUUUGUUUUUGUUCUUGGUAUUCUGAUGUUAGUGAGGUUAUCUUGCUUGUUAGUCCUUGUGGCUAUUCUCUGGCUACACUCCAAUGGUAAGUACAAUAUAUAUCCUUCUUGUUCAAUAAAUUUGGUCAUAAGCCAAGUGGCCUUAGUAAUGAAGCCCAAUAACAUUCAACUUGUGAAUAUUCAUAAGCAAACACUCAACAUAUAACCUCAGCAAAAGUUCUCCAUGCUAUGGCAAUGGAAGGCAUCUUUUUACAUGUUUGAAGGAGUCCCUGUGUCGUGCCAUUGCCAAAGAAAAUAAAAUAGCCUGGGCAUUUAGUUUCAUGUAGGGUAUUUUCUGAUAAUCAACUUUCCCUUAUAUUAAUUGCUGAUGUCAAACCAAGUAAGAAAAAUUUUGUUGCUCAUCAUUUAUGUAUAUUUUGGUAAAUUGUAAUUUUAAAUCCUCAACCAACUUCCCUUUGUGGGUAAUAAGGUAGUCCACUCUUUGAUAUUUAUGAUUGUAGAUCACGUUUCUAUUGGAUUGCCUUUAUCAUUCUGAAGCCAAGAUUGAUGUUAACAGCGAUCACAUCAAAUGUGGUGAAGAUCUGAAAUCAAAUUUGAAAUUGAGGGGAAAGAAAGAAAAGGGACCACAGUAAUUAAACAAAACUAUGAAAAUUUAGGUCAGAUUAGUUCAGUUUCGAUUCUAAGAAGCUUUAAUCUGGAUGAACAAUUUUCAAAUCUCCAAUUUAGAAUUGCUAGAGAAACUGUAGCUUUCACAUUAGUAAAAAUAAAGAAACAAUUGGAACUAUCUGGCCCUUUCUUUAUUGAAUGUGUGUGUCCAAGGUGCAGCGUCACUUAGUCAAUUGUUGCAAUUUUCUUCCCUGUAGUGCUCUCUACUUACUGAUUUGCUACCAAGCUCAUAUCUUUCUUAGGCCUUUUGCUUCCUAUUGCCGUUGCAGGUGCAAAUUCGGGCCAGCAAUAAAAUGCACUGGGAAGAAAAGUCAUCCAUGGGAAAAUGGGAUGUCCGAUCCCUGAUUACAGCUUCUUCAGAUUUGUAGUUGAGAAAAGUCGGCUAGUGUUGAUAAAUUACCUAGGCAUGUAAAAUUUACUUUUAAGAAUCCUGUUAGGUGCUGCAUUAUUUGCGUCACAUUACGUCUUCAGGGACCUGGAUCGGCAUCGGUUAAUUUAGGGAUGGACUUCAGUCUUUUGUCUGUUGAUGAAGACGAAAACCCGUUUGCACUAUUAGAUUGACGUGUUUCAUUUGGAGGAGCAGUUGAAGUGAACCAU
This 33262-nucleotide long non-coding RNA is filed under the name Citrus maxima (pomelo). Its description in RNAcentral is "long non-coding RNA (CMAX_LNC000736)". Lineage: Eukaryota; Viridiplantae; Streptophyta; Magnoliopsida; Sapindales; Rutaceae. The record is from RNAcentral.